GGGGGAGCGCGGCUACCUGCAGUCGGACGAGCUGUUUUGGUUUCGGCCAGGCAGUUAGUGGCAGACGGGUGAGUAACGCGUGGAUAAUCUACCUUCGUGUGGGGGAUACCAUUCCGAAAGGGGUGUUAAUACCGCAUAACACGGUUUUGGCUCUGGCCGAGAUCGUCAAAGCUGGGGAUUCGGGAAACCGGACCUGGUGCAUGAAGAGGAGUUCGCGUCAGAUUAGCUGGUUGGUGGGGUAACGGCCUACCAAGGCGUCGAUCUGUAGCCGGCCUGAGAGGGUGAUCGGCCACACUGGAACUGAGACACGGUCCAGACUCCUACGGGAGGCAGCAGUGGGGAAUUUUGCGCAAUGGGGGAAACCCUGACGCAGCAACGCCGCGUGGGUGAAGAAGCAUCUUGGUGUGUAAAGCCCUGUCAUCGAGGACUAAGAUUGCACGAUUAAGAGUUGUGUAGUUUGAAGGUACUCGAGGAGGAAGCCCCGGCUAACUCCGUGCCAGCAGCCGCGGUAAUACGGAGGGGGCGAGCGUUAUUCGGAAUUACUGGGCGUAAAGGGCGCGUAGGCGGCCUGGUCAGUGGGAAGUGAAAGCCCUCAGCUCAACUGAGGAAUAGCUUCCCAUACUGCCAGGCUAGAGUAUGGGAGAGGAGAGUGGAAUUCCCGGUGUAGCGGUGAAAUGCGUAGAGAUCGGGAGGAACACCAGUGGCGAAGGCGACUCUCUGGACCAUGACUGACGCUGAUGCGCGAAAGCGUGGGGAGCAAACAGGAUUAGAUACCCUGGUAGUCCACGCCCUAAACGAUGGAUACUUUGUGUCGCGGGUAUCGACCCCUGCGAUGCAGGAGCUAACGCAU
This 850-nucleotide ribosomal RNA is filed under the name uncultured marine bacterium. RNAcentral describes it as "bacterial SSU rRNA". It matches the Rfam family "Bacterial small subunit ribosomal RNA", at positions 38 to 860 of the family's 1533-position model. The record is from RNAcentral.